RNAcentral lists this ribosomal RNA (274 nucleotides) under uncultured bacterium. RNAcentral describes it as "partial 16S ribosomal RNA". It matches the Rfam family "Bacterial small subunit ribosomal RNA", at positions 523 to 796 of the family's 1533-position model. The record is from RNAcentral.
AUACGGAGGGUGCAAACGUUGUUCGGAAUUACGGGGCAUAAAGCGCACGUAGGCGGUCCUGUCAGUGUGAAGUGAAAUCCCACGGCUCAACCGUGGAACUGCUUUGCAUACUGCAGGACUCGAGGACGGUAGGGGAGAGCGGAACUCCUGGUGGAGCGGUGAAAUGCGUAGAUAUCAGGAGGAACACCAGUGGCGAAGGCGGCUCUCUGGUCCGUUUCUGACGCUGAGGUGCGAAAGCUAGGGUAGCGAACGGGAUUAGAUACCCCGGUAGUCC